This 482-nucleotide ribosomal RNA is filed under the name uncultured bacterium. RNAcentral's name for it is "bacterial SSU rRNA". It matches the Rfam family "Bacterial small subunit ribosomal RNA", at positions 49 to 507 of the family's 1533-position model. The record is from RNAcentral.
UAACACAUGCAAGUCGUACGAGAAAGUCGGCUUCGGCUGAUGAGUAAAGUGGCGCACGGGUGAGUAACGCGUGGAUAAUCUGCCCUUUAGUUGGGAAUAACGUACCGAAAGGUGCGCUAAUACCGAAUAAUGCUGAGUGACAUCAGUUAUUUAGCCAAAGAAGGCCUCUGCUUGCAAGCUUUCGCUGAAGGAUGAGUCCGCGUACCAUUAGCUAGUUGGUAGGGUAAUGGCCUACCAAGGCGACGAUGGUUAGCUGGUCUGAGAGGAUGAUCAGCCACACUGGAACUGAGACACGGUCCAGACUCCUACGGGAGGCAGCAGUGAGGAAUAUUGCGCAAUGGGGGCAACCCUGACGCAGCAACGCCGCGUGAGUGAGGAAGGUUUUCGGACUGUAAAGCUCUGUCGAGCGGGAAGAAAUGCCUGAUGGCUAAUAUCCAUCAUGCUUGACGGUACCGCUAGAGGAAGCACCGGCUAACUCCGUG